Molecule: unclassified non-coding RNA, 299 nt
Filed under: plant metagenome
Description: partial contains 5.8S ribosomal RNA, internal transcribed spacer 2, and large subunit ribosomal RNA
Rfam family: 5.8S ribosomal RNA (bases 1-105)
Source: RNAcentral
GAAAUGCGAUAAGUAAUGUGAAUUGCAGAAUUCAGUGAAUCAUCGAAUCUUUGAACGCACAUUGCGCCCCCUGGUAUUCCGGGGGGCAUGCCUGUUCGAGCGUCAUUUCACCACUCAAGCCUCGCUUGGUAUUGGGCGACGCGGUCCGCCGCGCGCCUCAAAUCGACCGGCUGGGUCUUCUGUCCCCUAAGCGUUGUGGAAACUAUUCGCUAAAGGGUGCCACGGGAGGUCACGCCGUAAAACAAGCCCAUUUCUAAGGUUGACCUCGGAUCAGGUAGGGAUACCCGCUGACCUUAAGC